UAGGGUAAGGGUUAAGGUUAGGGUUAGAGCUAGGGUAAGGGUUAAGGUAAGGGUUAGAGCUAGGGUAAGGGUUAAGGUUAGGGUUAGAGCUAGGGUAAGGGUUAAGGUAAGGGUUAGAGCUAGGGUAAGGGUUAAGGUAAGGGUUAGAGCUAGGGUAAGGGUUAAGAUUGGGGUUAGUAAAUAGUUAGUUGAGAUGUUACUGAUUGUCUGUAGAGAAUCUACAGAUGAUGGACUAUCUAAAUAAAGUGUUACCCAGAUACCUACUCAAUUAUAUGUGAGCUCUUUUAGAGAAAAUUCUGAAAGCUAAUUCCAUAUUCAUAAUUCGUGAACAGAAUUGAAAAACAAAACAUUGUCUGUUUAUGAUUGGAAUAAAAAGCAAAACAAUGCAAAGAGUGUUCUCUGUUAUGCUAAUGCAAUCUCUCCACAAUCCCCCUUCUUUUCUCUCUUCAUUUUUCCAAAUGAAUUCACAAACAAACACCCAGUUCUGUGUAUUUGGGUAAAGCGUUAAAUUUGAGUUAAUUAAAAUGCUAUCGUUG
Oncorhynchus tshawytscha (Chinook salmon) is the source of this 536-nucleotide long non-coding RNA. The record is from Ensembl. NCBI's taxonomy places the organism in Eukaryota, Metazoa, Chordata, Actinopteri, Salmoniformes, Salmonidae.